AUCAGCCUACGGGGGGCAGCAGUGAGGAAUAUUGGUCAAUGGGCGGGAGCCUGAACCAGCCAAGCCGCGUGAGGGAAGAAGGUACAGCGUAUCGUAAACCUCUUUUGUCAGGGAACAAAGGCGGGGACUAGUCCCCGGAUGAGGGUACCUGAAGAAAAAGCAUCGGCUAACUCCGUGCCAGCAGCCGCGGUAAUACGGAGGAUGCGAGCGUUAUCCGGAUUUAUUGGGUUUAAAGGGUGCGUAGGCGGUCCGGAAAGUCAGCGGUAAAAGCCCGGGGCUCAACCCCGGCGAGCCGUUGAAACUGU
This 305-nucleotide ribosomal RNA is filed under the name uncultured bacterium. RNAcentral's name for it is "bacterial SSU rRNA". It matches the Rfam family "Bacterial small subunit ribosomal RNA", at positions 333 to 636 of the family's 1533-position model. The record is from RNAcentral.